Peromyscus eremicus (cactus mouse) is the source of this 325-nucleotide long non-coding RNA. RefSeq lists it as uncharacterized. The transcript has 2 exons. Lineage: Eukaryota; Metazoa; Chordata; Mammalia; Rodentia; Cricetidae. The record is from RefSeq and is a predicted model, not a curated record.
CAAUAGCCUGUAAUUUUGGGGGAGUCUAUAAGAUCCCACUGGUCAACCAGUCAAAAACAUCCCAUUCUUGGCACUUGGGAGUUUAUGUGGUAGCAUAUGGUGUCAUGUCCAGACUGACAUUAAUAGCUUUUCAUUGAGAUGAGAAAUCAUAAUAAUUACUCUGGAGAAGAUGACAAAGAUAAAUGUUAUUCAUAUAAGUAUGCAGAUGAUCAAGGGAUUGAUUGAUGGUUGGCCCCCUGAAAAAGCAACUGAUCAUUCUACUCUUUUAGGCUGGUGGAUCUCUUAGCAUCAUCUGAAGAAUAAACAGAAGGUAAUCAAUUUGGAA